Cryptomeria japonica (Japanese cedar) is the source of this 3141-nucleotide long non-coding RNA. RefSeq lists it as uncharacterized. The record is from RefSeq and is a predicted model, not a curated record. The transcript has 3 exons. Lineage: Eukaryota; Viridiplantae; Streptophyta; Pinopsida; Cupressales; Cupressaceae.
UGUAAAGAAGCACCCCCAAAGUCAAUGGUUUUAUGUGGGGAGUAGCACUAAACAAGAUUCUUACCUAUGACAAUUUAUACAAAAGAGCCUUCUUCAGGCCAUCAAGGUGUAGCUUGUGUGAACUCAAAAGAAAAGGUGGAUCCUUUGCUCAUCCAUUGCCCUUUUUCUUCUUAUUUUAUGGAAUGAAUUGUUGUCUUUAUUUUGCAUUAUCUGAGUGGUUCCUGAAAUGGUUGAAAAAUUGCCAUGCAUUUGUCCUAAAGGCUCAAAAGAAAAGGUGGAUCCUUUGCUCAUCCAUUGCCCUUUUUCUUCUUAUUUAUGGAAUGAAUCGUUGUCUUUAUUUUGUAUUCUCUGAGUGGUUCCUGAAAUGGUUGAAAAAUUUCCAUUCAGUUGUCCUAAAGGCUCAACAAAGUUACAAAGCCUUUGGAAAUAUGUAUAAGGUGUCUUCUUUGGGGCUUAUGGCUAUAUGGAACUGUAGGAUUUUGGAAGCAAGGGAGUGUCAGUGGACAAUUUCUGGAAUUGAAUAUGAUCACCAAUAACAGAAUAUGCGAUUCCUGAGCUUAAAAAAACAUCUUCUUCCUUCUCACUUGCUGAUCAAAGGAUACUCAGGAAUUGGGGAAUUUUAAUUCAAGUUUUUCCUCCCCUCAUUCAUGGAGUAAGAGGAAAGCACUCAAGAAGACUACAAGAAUCUUUCAAGAUAAUCUGAUAAAAUGAAAGUUGGUCUCCUCCUUGAGAAGGUUUCUUAAAAUAAAUUUUUUAAUGGUACCUCGAUUUGCAAUCCGAGUAAAGCUGGAGGUGGCUUGAACAUGUGAGAUGUGCAAGGCAAAUUUUUAUGUGGAGGUCCAUUAUUCUUUGGAUCUAAAACCAAUAAUCAGGCAGAAUGGGAGACUUUGUUAGCUAUGAUAGCCAUGGUAGUAGAAUGGCAAUACAAGCAUGUGAUAGAAGGUGAUUCUCUAAUAGUAUGAAAUUAUGAAUGCUCUGUCUAAAGGCUAUUGUCGUAACUAGCACUUCAACUGCUUUGUGGAAUAAGUUUAAAUUGAUUGAUGUGUCCUCCCAAUUUUGGAAUGGAAUAGGACCCUCUUAUAGCUGAGUAUAGCCCACAGGUAGAAACUUCUCCAGAAUUGGGAAAAUUUAUUGGUCUACACCCUCCAUGAUUUAUGAAGUGCGAUCAUGUAUAAUCUGCACAUACUUUUGUAGAUAUUAGUUUGAGAUUUAAUUCAUAGAAGUUGGGGAUUAUGUUUGCGGUGCUUGAAGGUCUAGUAACCACACUUUUAGUAAUUUUGCAGCUGAUUGGAGUUGGAUUCAGCCUAGCAGGCUUAUGCAAUCCAUGGAGGAGCAUGAGAAUUUAAGGUUCUGUAUCUUGUGUUUCUUGGCUUUUAAAUGCUAAGCCUUGUCCGUUAUUGGACAAUGUGGCUCUGGUUCUUUGUUCUUCUUGAAAGUCUAUUUGUAGUUGGUGGAGGCAUUUGGUUUACUACAGGAAUGGUGAGCAAAGGAAUGGCAGUAAGGGAAAAUGUAUGACAAUGGUGACUCAGUCUUGGUAAACAACUUGAGGUGCAUCUUCCAUUGUGAUAGCAAUGUUGCUUUAGGGUUUGUGCAUAAAAUCUUGGUUGAAUGUAGCCUGGAAGCUAGUAAGAAGAAGUUAGUGUUGCAUAAGGAUUUUUCUAUAGCUUGGCUACCUUUGUUCUUGAUGCAUAGGUAAGGGUUUGCUUGUUGCAAUUGUUUCUGCCUGACUAAUUGAAAUAUAUUGAGGUGACUAGGCUCAUGGGAAUCCCCAGUGGUGUUCAGUAGGAGGUCAGUGAGCUUUUUUGCUGCAUUGUUGUAUAGGAAUGAGGAAUUGGAGGAUCUUCAUUGAUAGGUAGGUGCUCUGAGGGUUUAUUGUUUUGAGUCUUGACACUAGAAAUGUUUUGGUCAGCCACUGUGUUACCUUUUUCUACCAUUGUUCUUGAUGCAUAGGUAAGGGUUUGCUUGUUGCAAUUGUUUCUGCCUGACCAAUUUAAAUAUAUUGAGGUGGCUAGGCUCAUGGGAAUCCCUUGUGGUGUUCAGUAGGAGGUCAGUGAGCUCUUUUGCUGCAUUGUUGUAUAGGAAUGUGUGAUGAACCUGUGAAAUGGGGCCACCUGGCCUGGAUGGCAAUCUCCAGGUUGCCAACUGUGCACUCUUGUCCUUUAGCAGAAAAAUCAGGUUUUGUUUUGUUGUGACAACUGAUCAGAUUUUGUUUUGAAGUGACAACCGACUUCUUGAAGCUUCUGACUUCUUGAAGGGGGCCUAAUCAGAUUGCUUUGUCUUCUAGAGACAAACCGCCCUAGGGUUUCUCUUUGGCAACUAUGUGCCAACUGUCUGCUACUAUUUGUAAACUGGAAGCUUCUACCAACUUCAGCCAACUCGCUGCUAACUGUGUUUUGCCUCUUUACAGACUGGCAUCCCUUCAUUGAAGGCAAUCAGAUUGUUUACUUGCCUUGCAGUACAAGUUAAUGUACCACCCCAAGUGGGUAUAUAUUGAAGACUCUGCUUUGUUUUUUCGGAAUAUUUUGGUCUGCCUUUGUGCACAAUUUGGGUCUUGGGACGGAACCCCCAAGAGAUCACCACUGCCGCUGUGUGUUACUGUUCGAGCUCUAUAUGGUCUUGGGACGGAACCCUCAAGAGCUAUCCUCUGCUUUACUGGUUCAGAAAAACACAGUUUUAGAUCAUACAGACCUUAAGGUCUUCACAGAAUGAGGAAUUGGAGGAUCUUCAUUGAUAGGCUAAUGCUGUUUCCUUCAGAGCCUGGCAAACCAAUGAAGGUGAAUCUCCAGGGCUGAUAAACCAGGGGGAUUUGAGCCUCAAAGACAGUGCUCCAGAGGAUCUCCAAGAGCAAUCUCAUCCUGAGGUUGUAUACGUGCUGAAUGCUUUCCAGUUGCAGAUCUAUUUUGGGUAGUUUGCAGCUUAUUCAUAGAAGUUUGGAGUGCAUAGUUUAGGAGUUUAGUUUCAGAUUGUAUUGCGAACAGCAUAUAGUUCUAUUUAUUGCUGUUGUUGGAAUGUUAUUUCAUAUAUUAUAUUAUUAUGGACAAUUGUAAGAAGUUUGGAGAGUUUAUUUGGGAGUUGCAGUAGUUCUCUUGUGUGUAUAAGCUCCAGAUUUGGAAUUUUGUUUAUAAAGUAUUUUGCUGUUGA